UACGUAGGGUGCGAGCGUUUGUCCGGAAUUACUGGGCGUAAAGAGCUCGUAGGCGGUUUGUCGCGUCGUCCGUGAAAACUUGGGGCUCAACCCCAAGCUUGCGGGCGAUACGGGCAGACUUGAGUACUGCAGGGGAGACUGGAAUUCCUGGUGUAGCGGUGAAAUGCGCAGAUAUCAGGAGGAACACCGGUGGCGAAGGCGGGUCUCUGGGCAGUAACUGACGCUGAGGAGCGAAAGCGUGGGUAGCGAACAGG
This 254-nucleotide ribosomal RNA is filed under the name uncultured bacterium. Its description in RNAcentral is "partial 16S ribosomal RNA". It matches the Rfam family "Bacterial small subunit ribosomal RNA", at positions 524 to 776 of the family's 1533-position model. The record is from RNAcentral.